GAGAUUGUACUGGUAACAGUAAUUUAGUAGGCUGUAAUGUGAAAAUUGUUUGUCUUGGAUUUGUAUGUCUGUGCCUGCUGCUAUUACAUCGUCUCGCCAACUGGUACUUAAUAGACUAGUAGCACUACCAGAAUUCAGCAUUGAAAAAAGAAGGUGCUUCUGGUUGAUCUGAGUUGAUAAAAUUUCUGUCAAAUUUAUUUUUUUGAUUGUCUAUUGAGCUCUCUGAAUGCUGAAAAUUACUUGUUUACAUAUGGAAACAUGUAUUGAAUGCUUUGUUUCAAUUUAAAUAGUGCUGUUGCAGAUUUUAGCAGCAAAACACUCUUUGAUGGGUAUUUCCUCAUUGUUCCUCUAGUAGUGUGCUCUUUUGCCUUCUCUACUUUCUUUCCCAUGCCUGACCUCUCACCAAAUUCUGGUAAAUAUUUAAUAUAGGCAAUUCAGGUCUGGGGGAACUAUAAGUUAAGGUGCCUUAGCCAGAAUAGUUGGAUAAUUUUCAUUGGCUGAAAUAACCUUAACCAGAACCUACUAAAACUAAAACAUCCUCACUUUCAAAUUGGAAAUAAAGCUAUUUUGUAGUUCUAGAUAUGCCAAGAUAAAAUCUUUUGGGAAUCGUGUGUAUGUAUAUUGCUAUCUGAUUAUUAAAUGCUGUAACCAGCUAGGUAAGGUGAGGGCUCUUAGGUACCUUCAGAAUGUUUUGAGAGUAAUUCAAAAGGAAUUUCAAUAAAUAUUUCAUUAUAUAUUAGAUUUUUU
RNAcentral lists this unclassified non-coding RNA (747 nucleotides) under Hevea brasiliensis (rubber tree). Lineage: Eukaryota; Viridiplantae; Streptophyta; Magnoliopsida; Malpighiales; Euphorbiaceae. The record is from RNAcentral.